GUAAACGGCGGCCGUAACUAUAACGGUCCUAAGGUAGCGAAAUUCCUUGUCGGGUAAGUUCCGACCUGCACGAAUGGCGUAACGACUUCCCCGCUGUCUCCAACAUCGACUCAGCGAAAUUGAAUUGCCUGUCAAGAUGCAGGCUUCCCGCGGUUAGACGGAAAGACCCCGUGCACCUUUACUACAGCUUCGCACUGGUAUCAGGAUUGUGACGUGCAGAAUAGGUGGUAGGCAUCGAAGCAGUAACGCAAGUUACCGUGGAGCCUCCUUUGAGAUACCACCCUUCGCACUCUUGAUACCUAACCGCGGUCCCUUACCGGGAUCCGGGACCCUGCGUGGCGGGUAGUUUGACUGGGGCGGUCGCCUCCUAAAGAGUAACGGAGGCGCGCGAAGGUUGGCUCAGAGCGGUCGGAAAUCGCUCGUUGAGUGCAAUGGCAGAAGCCAGCCUGACUGCAAGACUGACAAGUCGAGCAGAGACGAAAGUCGGCCAUAGUGAUCCGGUGGUCCCGAGUGGAAGGGCCAUCGCUCAACGGAUAAAAGGUACGCCGGGGAUAACAGGCUGAUACUGCCCAAGAGUCCAUAUCGACGGCAGUGUUUGGCACCUCGAUGUCGGCUCAUCUCAUCCUGGGGCUGGAGCAGGUCCCAAGGGUACGGCUGUUCGCCGUUUAAAGAGGUACGUGAGCUGGGUUUAGAACGUCGUGAGACAGUUCGGUCCCUAUCUGCCGUGGGUGUAGGAUACUUGAGAGGAGUUGCCCCUAGUACGAGAGGACCGGGGUGAACGUUCCACUGGUGGACCAGUUAUCAUGCCAAUGGUAGUGCUGGGUAGCUAUGAACGGAAAGGAUAACCGCUGAAGGCAUCUAAGCGGGAAGCCCCCCUCAAAACAAGGUAUCCCUGAGGGCCGAGGUAGACCACCUCGUCGAUAGGCCGGAGAUGUAAGUAUGGUAACAUACUCAGUUGACCGGUACUAAUUGCCCGAUAGGCUUGAUUUGUUCCAG
This 996-nucleotide ribosomal RNA is filed under the name Tritonibacter aquimaris. RNAcentral's name for it is "Epibacterium sp. SM1969 partial 23S ribosomal RNA". It matches the Rfam family "Bacterial large subunit ribosomal RNA", at positions 1923 to 2925 of the family's 2925-position model. Lineage: Bacteria; Pseudomonadati; Pseudomonadota; Alphaproteobacteria; Rhodobacterales; Paracoccaceae. The record is from RNAcentral.